This 1994-nucleotide long non-coding RNA is filed under the name Selaginella moellendorffii. RNAcentral describes it as "long non-coding RNA (SMOE_LNC000556)". Lineage: Eukaryota; Viridiplantae; Streptophyta; Lycopodiopsida; Selaginellales; Selaginellaceae. The record is from RNAcentral.
CGGGGAGAUGGGAUAAUCCUAUAGAGCCGAAUCCCAGGAUCGAGACCCUGGAAGAGGAGGGACCCUCUUCAAACUGAUCACUCCUUUUAUUGGAGGGCUAGGGUUCUAGCGGGCAUCGCCGAGGGCGCAGGGGAUGGUGUAGAGGUUGCUGACGCGGUAGCAGGCGCUGGCUUGGCCAAUCCGAGAGGCAUGAUUUCUAAUUUCUUGCAUGAAUUGGAGCGGCAGUCGUAGGCUUCCAGGAUCUGGUGAGUGUCGCGUCUAGCAGUGCAUUCUCCUCCACGGACGAGAUUUCCUCGGGGACAUUCCCAUCGAUCACUGGCUCCAGCUUGAGCGUGGAUGGAUCAAAGUCGAGGCAAGCGCAGGUCCCUUGCCGGAUAACUCUAUACUCUCCGGGAAGCAGAAUGUCGAUGGAGAUGGCAGCCGUCGAGCACCAGGUAGCUCCCCAGAUCCCAGAUGAUUUAAGUUUGUGCCGUUCCAGGGGGUGAAGCCAACCACAGCGUGAGGCUGGAGCUCGAGAUAAAAGCUUCCAUGGCUUUUGUUUGUGGGAGAGGCGCUGGAGACAAGCUUUAGUAUGUCGUUGACGAACAGCGAGUCCGUGGGGUGGUCGAAGCUCUGCCAGACUUCCUAGCCAUUCCUGCGGAGGAGGACGAGUAUAGACCGCCAUAGCCACGACUCCUGUUCCUUGGCCGGAGGUGUUGGAAGACCAUACCUGGAGAGGUCCCUGGCUCAGGACUAAGUUUCCAUCGUCGCCAAAUGCGAGGGUCGCGUCUGGGAAGGCUUGCCAGAAACUGGCAACGGUGGUGGAAGAGCUGCAUUCGACGUCCUUGAAGUCGGGCUUCCAGAUCGACAAGUAGAACGAUGGCGGGUGCGAAAGGCGGGUGCCAAAGCUGUAGGAGAAGCCCCUCAUGAUCGUCAGGUUGGGAGCGACCAAUGGAUCGAUCGUCCAUUUCGAGUUGACAAGCAACUAAAGUGAGAGCGGGAUCAAAACACUGGAGGACGAGAAAAUCAAUGUAAAAGCUGGAGAAAGGAAAGUUUUGCCACAUGUUUAGCCAUCUACGGCAGGCUUAUAGCAUCCAUCCGAAAACGACACUCCAUUGGCUUGUCCGUGGAAGAGGAGGAAAGCUCGCCGAAUCUAAUCCUGUGAUAAGUACAGCAGUGGUAAUCCUCGCCAAAAGGAAAAACUUAAAAAGUGCUCUCUCCAUACCUCUAGAAGUUCUUUUGAGUUGAUCCAGCCAACCUGUGACGAGUAGUUGUUGAAGAAACUUGGAAACUCUGUCCGUACCUCUAGAAGCUCGAGUUGGAUCCAGCAAGUUUACUUUGCUUUUCUUUUCUUGUGUUGGGAGAAGGAAUUACGGUUGUCAAGGGACGCGAAUGUAAGUUGCCCUGUGUUGCCGUGCACGAGUUGCUUUGAAGAAAGAUGAUGGCGAAGGUGGUUCGCGGUCAAUUUUGUGAGGUGUCAAUGAAGACUGCUCGUGCUUGCCACUGUCACUUGUCAAGCUGCUCUUGAUCUCUUCGCUUUCUUCCCGAAUCACAACUUGACUGUAGUAUGCGGGAUCCACAUUUUCUGGCGACUGUAAACUCGGUUGCAACUGCAUUGCUUCGAAACUACUGUUAGAGAAAACAGGAAGAGAAAGAGAGACACAAGAAGAGCACGAACCUGUGGAAAAUGGCGCCUGUAGGCCUGAAGACGUAUUUGCGGAGAGGCUAAGCAAUGAAGGAGCUCGAAAAACUUGGACUGGGCGAAUAGAGAAGCGCGCUGCCAGAGAAGAUACGUCAAGUCUUUGGCCUGUCCCCUCAGUUCACCCAAUCUCCGGUCAAUUUCUGGUUCGUAGCUCGUCACAAACGGUUUCAAAAACGUCGUGUAAAUGUAGUUUGUCCCCUGAAAGUAUAAAUUCGAUCUGGCCCCAGACAGUACAAACAAAAACUAUAGCAAACCUUAGUCUUGGGAUACCACAAGUAGACUAUAAAAGCAAGCUUUGCUUCAUUGUACAUCG